UACGGAGGAUCCAAGCGUUAUCCGGAAUCAUUGGGUUUAAAGGGUCCGUAGGCGGUUUGGUAAGUCAGUGGUGAAAGCCCAUCGCUCAACGGUGGAACGGCCAUUGAUACUGCCAGACUUGAAUUAUUAGGAAGUAACUAGAAUAUGUAGUGUAGCGGUGAAAUGCUUAGAGAUUACAUGGAAUACCAAUUGCGAAGGCAGGUUACUACUAAUGGAUUGACGCUGAUGGACGAAAGCGUGGGUAGCGAACAGG
RNAcentral lists this ribosomal RNA (253 nucleotides) under uncultured bacterium. RNAcentral describes it as "partial 16S ribosomal RNA". It matches the Rfam family "Bacterial small subunit ribosomal RNA", at positions 524 to 776 of the family's 1533-position model. The record is from RNAcentral. RNAcentral also lists the same sequence under 1 other name.